RNAcentral lists this unclassified non-coding RNA (185 nucleotides) under uncultured fungus. Its description in RNAcentral is "sequence contains ITS1, 5.8S rRNA gene". Lineage: Eukaryota; Fungi. RNAcentral also lists the same sequence under 1 other name. The record is from RNAcentral.
CAGAGUUUUCUAAACUCCCAACCCUUGCGAACCAUACCCAUACUGUUCUCGUUGCUUCCGGCGGGGGACGGGUGGGGGGCUGCCCUCGCGCAGUCCCUCCCCUCCCGCGCCGGGGGCGGCGGGCCCUAUGAACCUUUACAUCUCAACCACAAGAAAACCGUCUGAGAAAAAAAAACAAAUAAUCA